Molecule: transfer RNA, 64 nt
Filed under: Cicadella viridis
Lineage: Eukaryota; Metazoa; Arthropoda; Insecta; Hemiptera; Cicadellidae
Description: tRNA-Ser
Source: RNAcentral
AGUUAUUUAGCUUAUUCUUAAAGCAUAUAUCUUGAAAAUAUAAGAAAGAGAAAUUUAAUAACUU